CACGCCACAUCCAAAACCGUAUCUUUUCAACUCUCCACCACCACCUUAUUACUCUCCUUCUCCAAAGGAAGACUACAAGUCUCCACCACCACCAUAUGUCUACAACUCUCCACCACCACCGUAUUACUCCCCUUCUCCUAAAGUAGACUACAAAUCUCCUCCACCACCAUACGUCUACAACUCUCCACCACCACCUUAUUACUCUCCUUCUCCAAAGGUAGAAUACAAGUCUCCACCACCACCAUAUGUCUACAACUCUCCACCACCACCUUAUUACUCUCUUUCUCCUAAAGUAGACUACAAGUCUCCACCACCACCAUACGUCUACAACUCUCCACCACCACCUUAUUACUCUCCUUCUCCAAAGGUAGACUACAAGUUUUCACCACCACCAUACGUCUACAACUCUCCAUCACCACCAUAUUACUCUCCUUCUCCUAAAGUAGACUACAAGUCUCCACCACCACCAUACGUCUACAACUCUCCACCACCAC
RNAcentral lists this long non-coding RNA (494 nucleotides) under Arabidopsis thaliana (thale cress). RNAcentral describes it as "long non-coding RNA (ATHA_LNC000429)". The record is from RNAcentral. Lineage: Eukaryota; Viridiplantae; Streptophyta; Magnoliopsida; Brassicales; Brassicaceae.